GCGGUGCGAAGCGGCCGAGAGGCGUGAGAGCGACGCCGCCCUUGACUAAUGGGGAGAGCCGUUGGUGUGGGGUGGAGUAAGAGCGACGGCGAUUGGCUGGACGGCCUGGGCUCCUGGCGGGGCCGCGCCGGGUCUGGGGUAAGCGCAGCAAGAUGGCGACCGAGACGGUGGAGCUGCACAAGCUGAAGAGCACUCCUUAAACUUUUGGAGGUCACAGAUAUCUUUGAAACUCUGAUGAAAGCUUGCUGAACUAAAGCAAGAAUGUCUUGCUCGUGGUUUAGAGACCAAGGGAAUAAAACAAGAUCUUAUCAACAGGCUCCAGGCAUAUCUUGAAGAACAUGCUGAAGAGGAAGCGAACGAAGAGGAUGUCCUGGGAGAUGAGACCGAGGAAGAAGAACCGAAGCCCAUAGAACUGCCUGUUAAAGAGGAAGAACCUCCUGAAAAAGCUGUCGAUGUGGCAUCAGAAAAGAAGGUGGUAAAAAUUACAUCUGGAAUACCUCAGACUGAAAGAAUGCAGAAGAGGGCUGAACGGUUCAAUGUCCCUGUAAGCUUGGAGAGCAAGAAGGCUGCGCGGGCAGCCAGAUUUGGAAUUUCUUCUGUUCCAACAAAAGGUCUGUCAUCUGACACCAAGCCUAUGGUUAACUUGGAUAAACUAAAGGAAAGAGCACAGAGAUUUGGUUUGAAUGUCUCUUCCAUCUCUAGAAAGUCUGAGGAUGAUGAGAAGCUGAAAAAAAGGAAGGAGAGAUUUGGGAUUGUGACAAACUCAGCUGGAACUGGAACUACUGAGGACACAGAGGCAAAGAAAAGGAAAAGAGCAGAGCGUUUUGGGAUUGCAUAAUGAAAAGUUCAUGCUUUCUGCCCCAUAGUGGUUUCCGUUUCUCAAAUUCUUGUUUUUUUAUACACACACACACACACACACACACACACACACACACACACACACAGAGCCAUUUGCCUCACAGUGAGGAAGCGUGUACCUUGGGUACGUCCUUGAAUUCCAGCAGCAGUUUGGUUUAACUGCUACUCUGCAUUUAAGGUUGUUAUAUUUUUGUUUUUAAUUAUUUUGCUUAUUAAUAAAAAAAGAAAGAAAAGAGAA
Molecule: RNA transcript, 1096 nt
Organism: Peromyscus leucopus (white-footed mouse)
Lineage: Eukaryota; Metazoa; Chordata; Mammalia; Rodentia; Cricetidae
Gene: Sarnp
Gene name: SAP domain containing ribonucleoprotein
Exons: 12
Source: RefSeq, a predicted model, not a curated record